RNAcentral lists this ribosomal RNA (341 nucleotides) under uncultured bacterium. Its description in RNAcentral is "bacterial SSU rRNA". It matches the Rfam family "Bacterial small subunit ribosomal RNA", at positions 8 to 353 of the family's 1533-position model. The record is from RNAcentral.
AGAGUUUGAUCCUGGCUCAGGAUGAACGCUGGCGGCGUGCCUAAUACAUGCAAGUCGAACGCGAGCAGCAAUGCUCGAGUGGCGAACGGGUGAGUAAUACAUAAGUAACCUGCCCUAGACAGGGGGAUAACUGCUGGAAACGGCAGCUAAGACCGCAUAGGUAUGGACACUGCAUGGUGACCAUAUUAAAAGUGCCAAGGCACUGGUAGAGGAUGGACUUAUGGCGCAUUAGCUGGUUGGUGAGGUAACGGCUCACCAAGGCGACGAUGCGUAGCCGACCUGAGAGGGUGACCGGCCACACUGGGACUGAGACACGGCCCAGACUCCUACGGGAGGCAGCA